Molecule: ribosomal RNA, 220 nt
Filed under: uncultured fungus
Lineage: Eukaryota; Fungi
Description: partial 18S ribosomal RNA
Rfam family: Eukaryotic small subunit ribosomal RNA (bases 39-220)
Source: RNAcentral
GGAUUCUACCGUUGGUCGGGCUAACAAGUCUGUACUGGUGUGUAGAAUUUCUACCUUCUGGGGAACUAUCAUGUUAUUAAUUUAGCGUGGUGGGAAACCAGGACCUUUACCUUGAAAAAAUUAGAGUGUUCAAAGCAGGCUUACGUCUGAAUACAUUAGCAUGGAAUAAUAGAAUAGGACGGUGGUCCUGUUUUGUUGGUUUCUGAAUCACCGUAAUGAU